RNAcentral lists this small RNA (122 nucleotides) under Marmota monax (woodchuck). Lineage: Eukaryota; Metazoa; Chordata; Mammalia; Rodentia; Sciuridae. The record is from RNAcentral.
GCUGGGCAGGGUGGUGCACGCCUGUAAUCUCAGUGGCUCCGGAGGCUGAGACUGGAGAAUCUCUUCAAAGCCAGCCUCAGCUAAAGCAAGGCACUAAGCAACUCAGUGAGACCCUGUCUCUA